GACGGUGGACUAGGGGAAGAACGAGGAAGAAGAGGAGGUGAUUGAAGGAGACAAUCGGUUCAUCUAAAAGUGGAAAUCAAACCAGGAUUUGAUAUUUGUUCAAGUCCAUUAAGAAGGGAGCCAAGGAAGAAGCAAGAGGAAGUUAGUACGGAAGAAAAAGCAAAAGCAAGAGCAAGUACUCCUAAGGGCAAGGGAGUAGUGAUCGGUGGAGUUUAAAGGUGCAAGAAGC
This is a long non-coding RNA of Neltuma alba, 229 nucleotides long. RefSeq lists it as uncharacterized. Lineage: Eukaryota; Viridiplantae; Streptophyta; Magnoliopsida; Fabales; Fabaceae. The record is from RefSeq and is a predicted model, not a curated record. The transcript has 3 exons.